AGCGAACGCUGGCGGCAGGCCUAACACAUGCAAGUCGAACGGAUCCUUCGGGAUUAGUGGCAGACGGGUGAGUAACGCGUGGGAACGUGCCCUUUGGUUCGGGACAACACAGGGAAACUUGUGCUAAUACCGGAUAAGCCCUUCGGGGGAAAGAUUUAUCGCCAUUGGAGCGGCCCGCGUUGGAUUAGGUAGUUGGUGAGGUAAAGGCUCACCAAGCCUACGAUCCAUAGCUGGUCUGAGAGGAUGAUCAGCCACACUGGGACUGAGACACGGCCCAGACUCCUACGGGAGGCAGCAGUGGGGAAUCUUGCGCAAUGGGCGAAAGCCUGACGCAGCCAUGCCGCGUGAAUGAUGAAGGUCUUAGGAUUGUAAAAUUCUUUCA
This 382-nucleotide ribosomal RNA is filed under the name uncultured bacterium. RNAcentral describes it as "bacterial SSU rRNA". It matches the Rfam family "Bacterial small subunit ribosomal RNA", at positions 29 to 438 of the family's 1533-position model. The record is from RNAcentral.